GUGAGUAACCUGCCCUUGACUCUGGGAUACCCUGGGAAACUGGGUCUAAUACUGGAUAUGACCUCUUGCCGCAUGGUGGGAGGUGGAACGAUUUAUUGGUCUUGGAUGGACUUUUUGCCUAUCAGCUUGUUGGUGAGGUAAUGGCUCACCUGGGCGACGACUGGUAGCCGGCCUGAGAGGGUGACCGGCCACACUGGGACUGAUACACGGCCCACACUCCUACGGGAGGUUGAGUGGGGAAUAUUGCACUGUGGGCGCAAGCCUGAUGCAUGGACGCCGGUGAGGGAUGACGGCCUUCGGGUUGUAAACCUCUUUCAUUAGGGAAGAAGCGAUAGUGACGGUACCUGCACAAGAGUCGCCGGGUAACUACGUGCCAACAGCCGCGGUAAUACGUACGGGACGAGGGUUAUCCGGAAUUAUUGGGUUUAAAUA
RNAcentral lists this ribosomal RNA (432 nucleotides) under bacterium m76. Its description in RNAcentral is "bacterial SSU rRNA". It matches the Rfam family "Bacterial small subunit ribosomal RNA", at positions 117 to 566 of the family's 1533-position model. The record is from RNAcentral.